UAGAUAGAGGCCUGUAGGUUUGGGCAUCUAGCUGUUAACUAGGAGUUUUGUGGGAUCAAGGCCCACCUAUCUA
Molecule: transfer RNA, 73 nt
Filed under: Batrachostomus cornutus
Lineage: Eukaryota; Metazoa; Chordata; Aves; Caprimulgiformes; Batrachostomatidae
Description: tRNA-Asn
Source: RNAcentral